RNAcentral lists this long non-coding RNA (644 nucleotides) under Toxoplasma gondii VEG. Lineage: Eukaryota; Apicomplexa; Conoidasida; Eucoccidiorida; Sarcocystidae. The record is from RNAcentral.
GGUUCAAGUGAACUGUUGCGCCUUUCAGACAUGGCGGCUUUCACAUUUUUCGCUAGUGCCGACCAAAUUUGUCUCGCUGGCCGCGUCGUCGCCUGCUAAGCUGCUCCGCUUUCCGGCUCUGUAUCGGGGGGAGUUUUUCUGAUAUCGCAGUUCUACCACAUUCGUUUUCUCGACAUUCGCUCUGGCAUGCAGGCGUAUGAGAAGGUAAGGUGUGUCGGAAUUAUCAGCUCGUUCGCUUCUUCUUUCUGCUAGUCAGCACGGACCCGUGAAGCUCAAGGGGACCCCCGGUCCCGCGGAAGUGAGCUUGAAGCGACUAUCCAGGGAGGAGAUCCACAAAAAUACAGUCAUUCUACGCUUCUUUCUCCGCCGUCCCUUUGUUGGAUUGGCAAUACCCCAAGUGUAUUCCCUUCUCCAGGACGGCACUCUCUGUCUAGGUAAUUUGGUGCAAGUGGGGGAAGCACAAAACUUCUUCAACAGCUUUUUGUGACAAGCAGUUGGCGGUUAUCGGUACGUGUCUUGUGAGAACCAAUUACCCGAUCGACUGGAUGAAAAAAUCGGAACAGACACAAACAUAUUUGGAAUGGUGAAGCAUCGAAGACGCUCUUAUCAGUCCCGCAGCCCGUCUUCCGGUACGCAACCUAGAA